AAAGAAAAGAUUGCUUUG
RNAcentral lists this microRNA (18 nucleotides) under Corchorus capsularis. Its description in RNAcentral is "sRNA CCACVL1_12067". Lineage: Eukaryota; Viridiplantae; Streptophyta; Magnoliopsida; Malvales; Malvaceae. The record is from RNAcentral.